Gadus macrocephalus (Pacific cod) is the source of this 2706-nucleotide long non-coding RNA. RefSeq lists it as uncharacterized. The transcript has 4 exons. NCBI's taxonomy places the organism in Eukaryota, Metazoa, Chordata, Actinopteri, Gadiformes, Gadidae. The record is from RefSeq and is a predicted model, not a curated record.
CAAAAGAAACAAACACCAGGGAGAACCGUCAGGCUAUCUUUGGAGGAAAGUAAACAGCAGUUAAUCAUUCUCCCACAUGACAGGAAAACAAUGGCCGCGUCGGUCGGUCUACGCAAGCUAGCUCAUAGCCUAGCCACACAAAGGCCUGGCUAGCGCUAUGAUACUACCCCUGGUUUCACUAGCCAAGCCUCCAGCACCAAAACCAUACACAGCGUAGACAACAAUACAAUGACUGUAGACACAAGGGUGACUAAAGUGUCACGUCUGCACUCUUUGGCUGCGAUGGAAGACUAAGGACAUGGGAGAAGAUGUGAGGGAGUGUCAGAGGAAAGACCUGGAGAGGGAAGAAGUGUCUGGAAUGAAGUGUGCUGACACAUCAUCUCUGUUCACAGGCCCGCUGCAUGUUGGUGCCAGCUCAGCCACACCUGAUCAGCAUUCCAGAUGUUACACCAACAGCUAGCAUCACGGCGCUAAUUCCUAGUGUUGAUUUGGAGUCACCUGAUACCGCCCAGCCUAAAGAGACGACAGGAGAGAAGUUGAGGAACUCUUAAUGGCCUUCCCAGUCUUCCUCGAGUCUUGGCAGGAUGAGGCUCCCCAGAUGAUGACGACCAGCGCCUUGAGGAAGAUCUGUCUGCUAGAUCACUAGACGAGACAGAGACCAGACCCACUCCCUGACGGCCCAAACGCCAUCCAGCACCAAAUAAAGACAUCACGUACCAUCCAUCAGAGUGGCAAUACUUGUCUAUUCAAGUACACACACAGAUAAACUACAAGCAAAAUUAAGGAUAAACUACAAGAACGCAUAUGAAUAAACUACAAGUACACAUACGGAUAAACUUAGAAAUUCUAACAGCAGGUGAGUGAAUGGCAGUGCUGUUGGGACUCAUGAUGCCUUCAGUCGGGUUAGGGUAACACCUGAGUAAGUCUUGAGUUACUCCUAGGCUGUGGGUCUGAGUCCAGUUCAUUUACAAGUCUUAAACACGGCGGACUGGGUCAUUUUUGUGUUUCAUGCAGCAUUGUUCAAGGGGAAAAUAAAUACAUUGUUCCAAGAACAAAGAACAAAUGAAGUCCUCCUCUGGGUUUGUAUCUGUACUUCCUCUAAAGUUCAGACCUUACUGUGCAAAAAAUUCUAGGCUUCAUUUUAAUUCGAGCUUUUGGUGAAAGUUUGUUGACUUUCUUCCUGUAUUUUUUAUCUCCUGGUCCGUCCUGGCGUGUGUGUGUGUGUGUGUGUGUGUGUGUGUGUGUGUGUGUGUGUGUGUGUGUGUGUGUGUGUGUGUGUGUGUGUGUGUGUGUGUGUGUGUGUGUGUGUGUGUGUGUGUGUGUGUGUGUGUGUGUGAGAAAAGGGUUGGCAGUCUAGGAUUCAAGCACCAGCUUGUAUAAUCUCAAUGGAGCUGAUCCAUCUCCAAGAUACAGAUGGCUUUGAUAGUGCUCCCAAAACAUUGUUUUAGUGACAAUGCAAAAUAAUAGUGAAGGAUAGCUUUGCUCUCCGUGUAAUCUUGACUCUGCUUCCCGCCGUAUCUGAACAUGAUCCCAGACAGCGUUCAUGUAAUUCUUUGAGAGUUUCCUUCCAGAGGAUGAGAAUGACAUUUAUCCUUGCUGCGGACCGCCAUGAGAGCGGACACAACAAGCCCCUCUUUUCAGUGCCAACUGAAGCUAGUGAGCGCCUGUCAACACGCAGGGGGCCCGGGGAGCCAUUACCCAGCACCCACGGGGCCCUAACCCAAUACCCAGGGGGGCCCGUAGGAAAUACAGGCUGGAAUCCGCCCGUUUUAAACAUGUGUGAAUGUCUCCCAGUCUCCAGGGACCACCGCAGUCACUGGGCCAGGAAGACCGGGCGGCCACAAUUCAUUCCCAGUGACAUUCCUAGCGCCGGAUAAACCACAGCAAGUGCAGAGAAUAGGAGACCGCUUACGGUCUGAGCUAAACACUCGACACCAAGCGAUGCCGAGGCAGCCACAUGAAAUGUAUGCAUGUUCUUCCAGGUAUGUGAGCUAGUAGUUGAGUUCUCUUUUCGUGUCUUCUGCAGCUUCCUUGGCAAGAUCUCCUUAAAGAAAGAGAUCCUUGAUCUCAAUGGGCCCGACCUGUCUAAAUCAAAGUUAAUUAAAGCCAGAGAGAGAGGCCCCCCCAGGAGGUACCUGGCAGCAGGGGCAGUCUGCCCUACAGGUGUACUAACAGAGGCCUCUUUCAGGGUGCUCCCAUGGAGACGCCCGUCACCUGUCACCCUAUCCAGAAGACGACACACUUUACCGCACAAACACAGCCGGGGGCCUCGAUGACAACACACUCUGCGUUAGGAAAGAGAUAUUACCUCACUUUGAAGUCAGGGAGCGGCCAACUCAACACUCUGAGGAUGAGCAUCUGGGAGUCAAAAGAAAACUGUCAGCAAGUGAGCCAAGUUGAAACAGCUUGUGCUGGUUGCCAUGGAGGAAAUAAAUGAGCGAUGCAGUGGGAGCCAGUGAAUGAGGAAGCUGUAUUCAGGGGAAGAGAGCACCAACACCAACCGCCAUCUGACCCUGGGGCCGUUGGCCUCAUUAAACUAUUUGUGUUGUUUAGCAAAACCGUUCGACAACAAGCAGGGCACACAUCCAGCCCAAAGAGCACCCCUUUCUUUACUGCCCUGCUGACACUAAACCUUCACCAUAUAUAUAAUAGAUAUAGAUAUAUUAUAUAUAGGCUGGAAUUAAUUCAUCCUUGAUUCUCUAUACU